GAAUUAAAGAGCCAAAUUAAAAAACAAGGCAAAACAAAUAAGGCGUACUUGAGUACUGGCGCGGAAGGAAGGAUCUAGUGCAUAAUUUCCCGAUUCAAACACAAGGGCGCAGAUCCAACUUGCUUAUCAGGCCAACGCGCGGAUCUUUAUCCCUUUAAACGGCACCGUUUUGUUUGGUUAUUAAAAUCACAGAAAAAUGAAUGGCUAUCUGCCAUUUUUGCAAGCCACAAACUGAAUACCCCCUGCUAGGGUUUCGGCGUAGCCUAAGGGAGAUGAUGGAGCGCCGUCGCACCACCAUAGAUCCGGUGGUCGAUCACGCACAGGAAGAAUACGACGAGAGGCCAGAGGUGUGCAUGGCGCGGAGGAGUUAUUCGUGGGCGUGGAGCGUGGCGCGCGUGGAAGAAUAGGUUGGAGACUGCGGCGGCCGAAGCUUUUAGUAACCUAGGGUUUUUGCCAAAAAAUUAAUUAGUGUUUUGGGCCUGGGGUAAUGGGUUAGGACUAGGCUUUAUUUAAAGGACUUUGGACUAUUAAUAAAUUUGGGCCCUUAUUUGUAAAUGGACUUAAGACAAUUAAUUUAUUAUUUUUAUUUUA
Gossypium arboreum is the source of this 591-nucleotide long non-coding RNA. RefSeq lists it as uncharacterized. Lineage: Eukaryota; Viridiplantae; Streptophyta; Magnoliopsida; Malvales; Malvaceae. The transcript has 2 exons. The record is from RefSeq and is a predicted model, not a curated record.